This is a long non-coding RNA of Asparagus officinalis (garden asparagus), 418 nucleotides long. RefSeq lists it as uncharacterized. Lineage: Eukaryota; Viridiplantae; Streptophyta; Magnoliopsida; Asparagales; Asparagaceae. The transcript has 3 exons. The record is from RefSeq and is a predicted model, not a curated record.
AGGCUAUUUAACGUUUUUCAUCGAAGUAGCAAGAACUGUAUGCUAAUUCCAUUCACAGUUUAUAACUUUCAUCAUCCUUUAUUAUAAAAUUACUGUGGAAGAAGUUCACGUCCAUCUUCAAGAACUUGAUGAGAGUAUUACAGCACAGAAGCAAGUCAAUGAGGCUCUAGGCAACUGAGGAUCCGGCCGCACUCCACUAAACUGGGAAUCACACUCCGCCAUUGCCCUCGCCGCCGCCAAGGGCAUCGCAUUCACUCUGAGAAUGAAUUUUUUGACUCAAAAUUGGAGAUGGGCCAGUUAAAAUUUUUGUAAACUGUAAUUGCAUUUUUUGUAAAUUUGGAGAUGGGACAGUUAAUUUUUUGUAAACUGUAAUUGCAUUUUUUGUAAAUUUGGAGAUGGACUAUGAUAAUGGCGAUCA